ACUAAUACUAGCCCGCACCACAUAAAAUAUAACUAACCCCACCAGAUAAACCAAAACAUUUACCCCUAAUAAAAGUAUAGGAGAUAGAAAGUCUAAUCGGCGCCAUAGAGAGAGUACCGUAAGGGAAAGAUGAAAGACACAUUAAAAGUAAUAAACAGCAAAGCUUACCCCUUGUACCUUUUGCAUAAUGAUUUAACUAGAAUAAUUUGACAAAGAGAACUUAAGCCAAACAACCCGAAACCAGACGAGCUACUUAAGAGCAGCUAAAAGAGCAAACUCAUCUAUGUGGCAAAAUAGUGAGAAGACUUUUAAGUAGUGGUGACAAGCCUAUCGAGCCUGGUGAUAGCUGGUUGUCCAGAAUCGAAUUUUAGUUCAAUAUUAAGUCAUACCAAAAAAAAAUUACAAUUUAAAUGUAGACUUAAAAUAUAAUCUAAAAGGGUACAGCCUUUUAGAAACAGGAUACAACCUUAACUAGAGAGUAAGUACUCUACAGAUUCAUAGUUGGCCUAAAAGCAGCCAUCAAUUAAGAAAGCGUUCAAGCUCAACAAACCACUACCCAUUAAUUUGAAUAAUGAAUACGAACCCCUAGUAUGACACUGGACCAUUCUAUUCUCAAAUAGAAGAGACACUGUUAAUAUGAGUAACAAGAACCAGCUUCUCCCUGCACAAACUUAUAUCAGAUAACGGAUGAUCCACUGAUAGUUAACAGCAAGAUACGUCCUACACCGCAACUAGAACAACUAUCCAAUCAACUGUUAACCCAACACAGGUGUGCACUAAGGGAAAGAUUAAAAGAAGUAAAAGGAACUCGGCAAACACAAACCCCGCCUGUUUACCAAAAACAUCACCUCCAGCAUAACAACUAUUGGAGGCACUGCCUGCCCGGUGACAUCUGUUAAACGGCCGCGGUAUCCUGACCGUGCAAAGGUAGCAUAAUCAUUUGUUCUCUAAAUAAGGACUUGUAUGAAUGGCCACACGAGGGUUUUACUGUCUCUUACUUCCAAUCAGUGAAAUUGACCUUCCCGUGAAGAGGCGGGAAUAAACAAAUAAGACGAGAAGACCCUAUGGAGCUUUAAUUAACUAACCCACAGACAGCAAAUCCCAAUUCCAAGGAAAACAAGACAAAUACCCUGAUGGGUUAACAAUUUAGGUUGGGGUGACCUCGGAAUAUAAAAAAACUUCCAAGUGAUUAAAAUAUAGACCAACAAGUCAAAAUUAACCACAUCAAACAUUGAUCCAGUUUAUCUGAUCAACGGAACAAGUUACCCUAGGGAUAACAGCGCAAUCCUAUUUGAGAGUCCAUAUCGAUAAUAGGGUUUACGACCUCGAUGUUGGAUCAGGACAUCCCAAUGGUGCAGCAGCUAUUAAUGGUUCGUUUGUUCAACGAUUAAAGUCCUACGUGAUCUGAGUUCAGACCGGAGUAAUCCAGGUCGGUUUCUAUCUAUUUCACGUUCCCCCCAGUACGAAAGGAUAAGGGGAACAGGGCCCACUUAACAUAAGCGCCCUCAAACCAAUAGAUGAUAUAAUCUUAAUCUAAUAGUGAUAACCAUAAAUACCCAAGAACAGGGUUA
The sequence is a ribosomal RNA, 1571 nucleotides long. It matches the Rfam family "Bacterial large subunit ribosomal RNA".